Molecule: non-coding RNA, 387 nt
Organism: Labrus bergylta (ballan wrasse)
Lineage: Eukaryota; Metazoa; Chordata; Actinopteri; Labriformes; Labridae
Source: the annotation of a RefSeq genome assembly
UCACUGUGGUACACAUUUGGUGGAGGAACCAGACUGGAUGUUGGAAGUGAAGCCCGUCCCACCUUGAUGGUUCUGCCCCCUUCCAAUGAGGAGCUGCAGCAGGGGAAGGCCACGCUCGUGUGCCUGGCCAACAAGGGCUUCCCCUCAGACUGGAGUCUGGCCUGGAAGGUGGACGGCAUCAGCGGCGGCAGCUGGGAGGAGAGCAGGGGCCCUGCGGUGAUGGAGCAGGACGCUCGUUACAGCUGGAGCAGCACCCUGAGGCUCUCUGCAGGCCAGUGGACGAAGGUGGGCUCUGUGACCUGUGAGGCCACCCAGGGCUCCCAGACGCUGGUCUCAGAGACACUGAGGAGGGACCAGUGUUCCCAGGACUGAGCUGUAUCACCUGGA